CACAGCACGAGAUGACCCAAUAACCCGAACUCCUUCGUCGAUCGGGUUAUUGGGUCAUCUCGUGCUGUG
Molecule: small RNA, 69 nt
Filed under: Mytilus galloprovincialis (Mediterranean mussel)
Lineage: Eukaryota; Metazoa; Mollusca; Bivalvia; Mytilida; Mytilidae
Source: RNAcentral